Molecule: non-coding RNA, 73 nt
Organism: Camelus ferus (Wild Bactrian camel)
Lineage: Eukaryota; Metazoa; Chordata; Mammalia; Artiodactyla; Camelidae
Source: Rfam
GGUGGGUACAGCUCAGUGGUAGAGUGCGUGCUUAGCAUGCAUGAGGCCUUGGGAUCAAUCCCCAGUCCCUCCA